RNAcentral lists this microRNA precursor (94 nucleotides) under Chlorocebus sabaeus (green monkey). RNAcentral's name for it is "miRNA (ENSCSAG00000022823.1)". Lineage: Eukaryota; Metazoa; Chordata; Mammalia; Primates; Cercopithecidae. The record is from RNAcentral.
CAUCAUCAUGUAUUAGGCUGGUGCAAAAGUACUUGUGGGUUUUGCCAUUACUUUCAAUAGCAAAAACCACAAUUACUUUUGCACUAACCUAGUA